GACGAACGCUGGCGGCGUGCCUAACACAUGCAAGUCGAACGAGAUCCAUGGGAGCUUGCUCCCGGAAGAUCUAGUGGCGAACGGGUGAGUAACACGUGAGAAACCUGCCCUGGAGUGGGGAAUAACUCGGGGGAAACUCGAGCUAAUACCGCAUACCCUCGGAUGGUCGCAUGGCCGACCGAGGAAAGAUUUAUCGCUCUAGGAGGGUCUCGCGGCCUAUCAGCUAGUUGGUGGGGUAACGGCCUACCAAGGCAACGACGGGUAGCUGGUUUGAGAGAACGAUCAGCCACACUGGGACUGAGACACGGCCCAGACUCCUACGGGAGGCAGCAGUGGGGAAUCUUGCGCAAUGGGCGAAAGCCUGACGCAGCAACGCCGCGUGCGGGAUGACGGCCUUCGUGGUUGGUAAACCGC
Molecule: ribosomal RNA, 414 nt
Filed under: uncultured bacterium
Lineage: Bacteria
Description: bacterial SSU rRNA
Rfam family: Bacterial small subunit ribosomal RNA
Source: RNAcentral